Molecule: long non-coding RNA, 243 nt
Filed under: Ficedula albicollis (Collared flycatcher)
Lineage: Eukaryota; Metazoa; Chordata; Aves; Passeriformes; Muscicapidae
Description: lncRNA (ENSFALG00000025764.1)
Source: RNAcentral
AUAAAAAGAUUCAAAGUACUUGGAGUAUUUAGGAUUGAAUUGUUCCAUCGUGCUUUUCCAGUAGGAUUUUUCUUAAUGGAAAUGUGUUUGGACUACAUGUUCAGUGGCCAUACAUCUGGAUUUUCAGGGCAGCUGAGUGACUGAAUGCAGAAGAAAAGCAAAACACCACUCUUUGGAAGCUGAAUGAUUGCCUGCUCAUGUCUUAUACCACUUCUACAUAAAAUGACCAGUGUCCUCCCCUGG